Molecule: ribosomal RNA, 255 nt
Filed under: uncultured bacterium
Lineage: Bacteria
Description: partial 16S ribosomal RNA
Rfam family: Bacterial small subunit ribosomal RNA
Source: RNAcentral
UACGUAGGGUGCAAGCGUUUGUCCGGAAUUAUUGGGCGUAAAGAGCUCGUAGGCGGCUUGCCACGUCUGCCGUGAAAACCAGCAGCUUAACUGUUGGCUUGCGGUUGAUACGGGUUGGCUGGAGUUCGGUAGGGGAGACUGGAAUUCCUGGUGUAGCGGUGAAAUUCGUAGAUAUCGGGAGGAACACCAGUGGCGAAGGCGGCGAUCUGGGCAGAGUACUGACGCUGAGGAGCGAAAGCAUGGGAGGCGAACAGG